Molecule: ribosomal RNA, 610 nt
Filed under: uncultured Actinomycetes bacterium
Lineage: Bacteria; Bacillati; Actinomycetota; Actinomycetes
Description: uncultured actinobacterium partial 16S ribosomal RNA
Rfam family: Bacterial small subunit ribosomal RNA
Source: RNAcentral
CGGCCGCCAUGGCGGCCGCGGGAAUUCGAUUAGAGUUUGAUCCUGGCUCAGGACGAACGCUGGCGGCGUGCUUAACACAUGCAAGUCGAACGGUGACCCGGACUUCGGUCCGGCGAUCAGUGGCGAACGGGUGCGUAACACGUGGGCAACCUGCCCCAGACUCUGGGAUAACCCCGGGAAACCGGGGCUAAUACCGGAUACUCCGGCCGUACCGCAUGACGCGGCCGGGAAAGCUCCGACGGUCUGGGAUGGGCCCGCGGCCUAUCAGCUUGUUGGUGAGGUAAUGGCUCACCAAGGCGACGACGGGUAGCUGGUCUGAGAGGACGACCAGCCACACUGGAACUGAGAUACGGUCCAGACUCCUACGGGAGGCAGCAGUGGGGAAUCUUGCGCAAUGGGCGAAAGCCUGACGCAGCGACGCCGCGUGGGGGAUGAAGGCCUUCGGGUUGUAAACCCCUUUCGGCAGGGACGAAGCUAACGUGACGGUACCUGCAGAAGAAGUCCCGGCUAACUACGUGCCAGCAGCCGCGGUAAUACGAAUCACUAGUGAAUUCGCGGCCGCCUGCAGGUCGACCAUAUGGGAGAGCUCCCAACGCGUUGGAUGCAUAGC